AUUGAACGCUGGCGGCAUGCCUUACACAUGCAAGUCGAACGGCAGCACGGGAGCUUGCUCCUGGUGGCGAGUGGCGAACGGGUGAGUAAAGCAUCGGAACGUGCCCUGGAGUGGGGGGAUAACGUAGCGAAAGUUACGCUAAUACCGCAUAUUCUGUGAGCAGGAAAGCAGGGGAUCGCAAGACCUUGCGCUCUGGGAGCGGCCGAUGUCGGAUUAGCUAGUUGGUGGGUAAAGGCCUACCAAGGCGACGAUCCGUAGCGGGUCUGAGAGGAUGAUCCGCACACUGGGACUGAGACACGGCCCAGACUCCUACGGGAGGCAGCAGUGGGGAAUUUUGGACAAUGGGCGAAAGCCUGAUCCAGCCAUGCCGCGUGAGUGAAGAAGGCCUUC
Molecule: ribosomal RNA, 390 nt
Filed under: uncultured bacterium
Lineage: Bacteria
Description: bacterial SSU rRNA
Rfam family: Bacterial small subunit ribosomal RNA
Source: RNAcentral